GAGGGGCUAUGGAAAUUACAACUACAUUUAGGAAGACCUGGUUGGUCAGCGCUGCUGAAUUGAAAUUCCCUCAUUAAAAAUAAAUUACAAUUUUCAAUUCAUGAGUUGAAUUUCAAUUCAUGACCUAAAUGUACCUGGUGUGAAGGUGUGACAGUGUGGUGCUGUCCCUGGUGUGAAGGUGUGACAGUGUGGUGCUAUCCCUGGUGUGAAGGUGUGACAGUGUGGUGCUAUCCCUGGUGUGAAGGUGUGACAGUGUGGUGCUGUCCCUGGUGUGAAGGUGUGACAGUGUGGUGCUAUCCCUGGUGUGAAGGUGUGACAGUGUGGUGCUGUCCCUGGUGUGAAGGUGUGACAGUGUGGUGCUGUCCCUGGUGUGAAGGUGUGACAGUGUGGUGCUGUCCCUGGUGUGAAGGUGUGACAGUG
This is a long non-coding RNA of Oncorhynchus keta (chum salmon), 420 nucleotides long. RefSeq lists it as uncharacterized. NCBI's taxonomy places the organism in Eukaryota, Metazoa, Chordata, Actinopteri, Salmoniformes, Salmonidae. The record is from RefSeq and is a predicted model, not a curated record. The transcript is spliced from 3 exons.